RNAcentral lists this ribosomal RNA (180 nucleotides) under uncultured bacterium. RNAcentral describes it as "partial 16S ribosomal RNA". It matches the Rfam family "Bacterial small subunit ribosomal RNA", at positions 1319 to 1500 of the family's 1533-position model. The record is from RNAcentral.
CAUGAAGUCGGAAUUGCUAGUAAUGGCAGGUCAGCAUACUGCCGUGAAUACGUUCCCGGGCCUUGUACACACCGCCCGUCACACCAUGAGAGUUGGGAAUACCCGAAGCCUGUGAGCCAACAAACGAGGCAGCAGUCGAAGGUAGAAUCAAUGAUUGGGGUGAAGUCGUAACAAGGUACC